AUUGAACGCUGGCGGCGUGCUUAACACAUGCAAGUCGAACGGUAACAGGUGUAGCAAUACAUGCUGACGAGAGGCGGACGGGUGAGGAAUAUUUGGGAAUCUGCCCAUCAGCGGGGGACAACCCGGGGAAACCCGGGCUAAUACCGCGUACGCUCUACGGAGGAAAGCCGGGGACCGCAAGGCCUGGCACUGAUGGAUGAGCCCAAAUCGGAUUAGCUAGUUGGCGGGGUAACGGCCCACCAAGGCGACGAUCCGUAGCUGGUCUGAGAGGACGAUCAGCCACACCGGAACUGAGACACGGUCCGGACUCCUACGGGAGGCAGCAGUGGGGAAUAUUGGACAAUGGGGGAAACCCUGAUCCAGCGACGCCGCGUGGGUGAAGAAGGCCUGCGGGUUGUAAAGCCCUUUCGGUAGGGACGAAAGCUCUUGCUCUAAUAAUGCAAGAGGUUGACUUAACCUACAUAAGAAGCACCGGCUAACUCUGUGCCAGCAGCCGCGGUAA
Molecule: ribosomal RNA, 502 nt
Filed under: uncultured bacterium
Lineage: Bacteria
Description: partial 16S ribosomal RNA
Rfam family: Bacterial small subunit ribosomal RNA
Source: RNAcentral